GUGUCAGCCGCCGCGGUAAUACGGAGGGUGCGAGCGUUAAUCGGAAUUACUGGGCGUAAAGCGUGCGUAGGCGGCCUGUUAAGUCAGAUGUGAAAGCCCUGGGCUCAACCUGGGAACGGCAUUUGAAACUGGCAAGCUAGAGUUAGGUAGAGGGGAGUGGAAUUUCAGGUGUAGCGGUGAAAUGCGUAGAUAUCUGAAGGAACACCAGUGGCGAAGGCGGCUCCCUGGACCCAAACUGACGCUGAGGUACGAAAGCGUGGGUAGCAAACAGGAUUAGAUACCCCAGUAGUCC
This 292-nucleotide ribosomal RNA is filed under the name uncultured bacterium. RNAcentral describes it as "partial 16S ribosomal RNA". It matches the Rfam family "Bacterial small subunit ribosomal RNA", at positions 505 to 796 of the family's 1533-position model. The record is from RNAcentral.